This 339-nucleotide ribosomal RNA is filed under the name uncultured Leptolinea sp. RNAcentral's name for it is "bacterial SSU rRNA". It matches the Rfam family "Bacterial small subunit ribosomal RNA", at positions 1031 to 1382 of the family's 1533-position model. Lineage: Bacteria; Bacillati; Chloroflexota; Anaerolineae; Anaerolineales; Anaerolineaceae. The record is from RNAcentral.
GGCACAGGUGCUGCAUGGCUGUCGUCAGCUCGUGUCGUGAGAUGUUCGGUUAAGUCCGCUAACGAGCGCAACCCUCGCUGUGUGUUACAAGUGUCACACGGGUACUGCCGGUCUUAAGCCGGAGGAAGGUGGGGAUGACGUCAAGUCAGCAUGGCCUUUAUGUCCUGGGCUACACACACGCUACAAUGGCCAACACAAUAGGUUGCUAAGCCGCGAGGUGGAGGCCAAUCCUCAAAGUUGGUCUCAGUUCAGAUUGCAGGCUGCAACCCGCCUGCAUGAAGAUGGAGUUGCUAGUAACCGCAGGUCAGCUAUACUGCGGUGAAUACGUUCCCGGGGCUU